Molecule: long non-coding RNA, 433 nt
Filed under: Citrus sinensis (sweet orange)
Lineage: Eukaryota; Viridiplantae; Streptophyta; Magnoliopsida; Sapindales; Rutaceae
Description: long non-coding RNA (CSIN_LNC002864)
Source: RNAcentral
GACACUUGAAAUUCUUAAACACGCCCUCUUUGACAGCAAUUGAAAGACAGUCACUUCACCUUGCCCAAAAUAUGGUUGUUGACUCGUCUCGUCUCUUACGUACCACGCGCACUGCACGCACUUUCAGAACAAUUUCCUAGAAGAAGAAGAGGAAUAAAAUGAAAAGCAGUAAUAUUACACAAGCCUUUUGACCCGCCGUCGACUCACCAUCCAUAAAAUUGAACAAAGAAAAAAAAAAACCUUGAUAAUCGGAAAAGAAGAAAGUCCGAGUUGUUGGGACUAAUUAUGUCAUCUUCAAUCGAAGAGAAACGAAUCGAGGACGAGUUAUCGUACCCGAUUUUACUAGCGGAGCGGGUUCGCUUGGCGGUUGACGAGUCGGAGUCGUUCAAAGCGGAGUGUGCAGAAGUUGGAAAGCAAGUGGAUCGGCUCUCGC